AAAGAUGAAGUACUUAACCGUGCAUUUUAGUUACAUUAAAAAGGACCUAGAGAUAGUUAGGCAUCUUUA
Molecule: transfer RNA, 69 nt
Filed under: Hydatina physis
Lineage: Eukaryota; Metazoa; Mollusca; Gastropoda; Aplustridae
Description: tRNA-Val
Source: RNAcentral